RNAcentral lists this ribosomal RNA (600 nucleotides) under uncultured bacterium. Its description in RNAcentral is "partial 16S ribosomal RNA". The stretch from base 1 to 265 matches the Rfam family "Bacterial small subunit ribosomal RNA", at positions 98 to 350 of the family's 1533-position model. The record is from RNAcentral.
GCGCACGGGUGAGUAACGCGCACAUGACCUGCCCUUUACUGGGGAUAGCCUCGGGAAACUGAGAUUAAUACCCCAUGGUAUUAUUAUGCUGCAUGGUAUGAUAAUUAAAGCUGANGCGGUAAAGGAUGGGUGUGCGUCUGAUUAGCUAGUUGGGAAAGGGUAACGGGCUUACCAAGGGCGAAGAUCACCAAGGGGCGCUGAAAACGGUGGAAACCCCACAACGGGGUAAUGGANACACGGGAACCCGGAAUCCUAACGGGAAGCACACAAGGGAACANUGGGCCCACUGGGACGGGAAACUCCUGGAAACAAGCAAUCCCCGCGGUGGAAACGGGACUGCGAACAGGGGGCUCCUAGGCCUUGGCAAAACUCCCCCUCGGAAAUCGGGGCACGCAAACACAAAGGGGGGGAAUNAUAAUACCCCUACCGCAACUUCGAACCGGGGAACCCCAUCGACGGAAAUUAAAGGCAACACCGGGGGCGUUUAAAAUUUCCCCGGUGGGCCNACGCAAAGCGCCCGCCAGGGUANUUAAACACGGGGACACGGGGGUUGGCCCAAAGGGCCGGUUAAUCCCCCGCGGAAAAUUUCCCCCUCGGCGG